UACUGGGCGUAAAGAGUACGUAGGCGGUGAUUCAAGUCAGAGGUGAAAGCCUGGAGCUCAACUCCAGAACUGCCUUUGAAACCAGAUCGCUAGAAUCAUGGAGAGGUUAGUGGAAUUCCGAGUGUAGAGGUGAAAUUCGUAGAUAUUCGGAAGAACACCAGUGGCGAAGGCGACUAACUGGACAUGUAUUGACGCUGAGGUACGAAAGCGUGGGGAGCAAACAGGAUUAGAUACCCUGGUAGUCCACGCCGUAAGACGAUGAUAACUAGCUGUUCGGGGUCUACGAUCCUGAGUGGCGCGGCUAGCGCAUUAGGUUAUCCGCCUGGGGAGUACGGUCGCAAGAUUAAAACUCAAAGGAAUUGACGGGGGCCUGCACAAGCGGUGGAGCAUGUGGUUUAAUUCGAAGCUACGCGCAGAACCUUACCAGCGUUUGACAUCCUAAUCGCGGAUUCCAGAGAUGGUUUCCUUCAGUUCGGCUGGAUUAGUGACAGGUGCUGCAUGGCUGUCGUCAGCUCGUGUCGUGAGAUGUUGGGUUAAGUCCCGCAACGAGCGCAACCCUCGUCUUUAGUUGCCAUCAUUCAGUUGGGCACUCUAAAGAAACUGCCGGUGAUAAGCCGGAGGAAGGUGGGGAUGACGUCAAGUCCUCAUGGCCCUUACACGCUGGGCUACACACGUGCUACAAUGGCGGUGACAGUGGGCAGCAACCGGGCGACCGGUAGCUAAUCUCCAAAAACCGUCUCAGUUCGGAUUGUUCUCUGCAACUCGAGAGCAUGAAGGUGGAAUCGCUAGUAAUCGCGG
Molecule: ribosomal RNA, 798 nt
Filed under: uncultured Sphingomonadaceae bacterium
Lineage: Bacteria; Pseudomonadati; Pseudomonadota; Alphaproteobacteria; Sphingomonadales; Sphingomonadaceae
Description: bacterial SSU rRNA
Rfam family: Bacterial small subunit ribosomal RNA
Source: RNAcentral